GCUGAUGCGUUGUUGGGUAGGGGAGCGUUCUGUAAGCCUGCGAAGGUGGCCUGUGAGGGUUGCUGGAGGUAUCAGAAGUGCGAAUGCUGACAUAAGUAACGAUAAAGCGGGUGAAAAGCCCGCUCGCCGGAAGACCAAGGGUUCCUGUCCAACGUUAAUCGGGGCAGGGUGAGUCGACCCCUAAGGCGAGGCCGAAAGGCGUAGUCGAUGGGAAACGGGUUAAUAUUCCCGUACUUGGUGUUACUGCGAAGGGGGGACGGAGAAGGCUAUGUUGGCCGGGCGACGGUUGUCCCGGUUUAAGCGUGUAGGUGUGUGUUCCAGGUAAAUCCGGUUCACUUUAACACUGAGGCGUGACGACGAGGCACUACGGUGCUGAAGCAACAAAUGCCCUGCUUCCAGGAAAAGCCUCUAAGCAUCAGGUAACAUCAAAUCGUACCCCAAACCGACACAGGUGGUCAGGUAGAGAAUACCAAGGCGCUUGAGAGAACUCGGGUGAAGGAACUAGGCAAAAUGGUGCCGUAACUUCGGGAGAAGGCACGCUGACACGUAGGUGAAGUGAUUUACUCAUGGAGCUGAAGUCAGUCGAAGAUACCAGCUGGCUGCAACUGUUUAUUAAAAACACAGCACUGUGCAAACACGAAAGUGGACGUAUACGGUGUGACGCCUGCCCGGUGCCGGAAGGUUAAUUGAUGGGGUCAGCGCAAGCGAAGCUCCUGAUCGAAGCCCCGGUAAACGGCGGCCGUAACUAUAACGGUCCUAAGGUAGCGAAAUUCCUUGUCGGGUAAGUUCCGACCUGCACGAAUGGCGUAAUGAUGGCCAGGCUGUCUCCACCCGAGACUCAGUGAAAUUGAACUCGCUGUGAAGAUGCAGUGUACCCGCGGCAAGACGGAAAGACCCCGUGAACCUUUACUAUAGCUUGACACUGAACAUUGAGCCUUGAUGUGUAGGAUAGGUGGGAGGCUUUGAAGUGUGGACGCCAGUCUGCAUGGAGCCGACCUUGAAAUACCACCCUUUAAUGUUUGAUGUUCUAACGUGGACCCGUGAUCCGGGUUGCGGACAGUGUCUGGUGGGUAGUUUGACUGGGGCGGUCUCCUCCUAAAGAGUAACGGAGGAGCACGAAGGUUGGCUAAUCCUGGUCGGACAUCAGGAGGUUAGUGCAAUGGCAUAAGCCAGCUUGACUGCGAGCGUGACGGCGCGAGCAGGUGCGAAAGCAGGUCAUAGUGAUCCGGUGGUUCUGAAUGGAAGGGCCAUCGCUCAACGGAUAAAAGGUACUCCGGGGAUAACAGGCUGAUACCGCCCAAGAGUUCAUAUCGACGGCGGUGUUUGGCACCUCGAUGUCGGCUCAUCACAUCCUGGGGCUGAAGUAGGUCCCAAGGGUAUGGCUGUUCGCCAUUUAAAGUGGUACGCGAGCUGGGUUUAGAACGUCGUGAGACAGUUCGGUCCCUAUCUGCCGUGGGCGCUGGAGAACUGAGGGGGGCUGCUCCUAGUACGAGAGGACCGGAGUGGACGCAUCACUGGUGUUCGGGUUGUCAUGCCAAUGGCACUGCCCGGUAGCUAAAUGCGGAAGAGAUAAGUGCUGAAAGCAUCUAAGCACGAAACUUGCCCCGA
This 1608-nucleotide ribosomal RNA is filed under the name Salmonella enterica. RNAcentral describes it as "partial 23S ribosomal RNA". It matches the Rfam family "Bacterial large subunit ribosomal RNA", at positions 1213 to 2802 of the family's 2925-position model. Lineage: Bacteria; Pseudomonadati; Pseudomonadota; Gammaproteobacteria; Enterobacterales; Enterobacteriaceae. The record is from RNAcentral.